Molecule: ribosomal RNA, 251 nt
Filed under: uncultured prokaryote
Description: partial 16S rRNA
Rfam family: Bacterial small subunit ribosomal RNA
Source: RNAcentral
ACGGAAGGUGCAAGCGUUAGUCGGAAUUACUGGGCGUAAAGGGUGCGUAGGCGGUGAUAUAAGUCGGACGUGAAAUUCCGGGGCUUAACCUCGGAGCUGCGUUUGAUACUGUAUUGCUAGAGGAAUGGCGGAGAAAAUGGAAUUCCAUAUGUAGCGGUGAAAUGCGUAGAUAUAUGGAAGAACACCUGUGGCGAAAGCGGUUUUCUAGCCUACUCCUGACGCUGAGGCACGAAAGCAAGGGGAGCAAACAG